AUUGAACGCUGGCGGCAGGCCUAACACAUGUAAGUCGAGCGAGCGGCGGACGGGUGAGUAAUGUAUGGGGACUGCCCGAUAGAGGGGGCUAACUACUGGAAACAGUGGCUAAUACCGCAUACUAUCGGAUAACCCAUAUUGGAUUAGCUAGUAGGUGGGGUAAAGGCUCACCUAGGCGACGAUCACUAGCUGGUCUGAGAGGAUGAUCAGCCACACUGGGACUGAGACACGGCCCAGACUCAUACGGAGGAAGCAGUGGGGAAUAUUGGACAAUGGGCGAAAGCCUGAUGCAGCCAUGCCGCGUGUAUGAAGAAGGCCUUAGGGGUGUAAAGUACUUUUGGCGGGGAGGCGUUACCUGCAGAAUAAGCACCGGCUAACUCCGUGCCAGCAGCCGCGGUAAUUC
This 403-nucleotide ribosomal RNA is filed under the name uncultured bacterium. RNAcentral's name for it is "partial 16S ribosomal RNA". It matches the Rfam family "Bacterial small subunit ribosomal RNA", at positions 30 to 526 of the family's 1533-position model. The record is from RNAcentral.